AGAGCAUGGCGGGCUGCGGGUCUCCAGCCCUGCCGCGUGGGGAGGCGGCUGAGGCCUGGUGAGAAUUCAAGCCUGGCGCGGGAAGUCUGGCAGCGGUAGGGGACCCAUCGCAUCCUCCGCUGCUGCUGGCCUUGGUGCCAAGCCCCUCAUUGCGGGCCGGCCGCUCUGAGUGCAGGCCCGCUGAGGCUGCGCCCACCUGGAACUCGCGCUGGCCCGCGAGCCGUGCCGCCCCGCCCAGCCCAGUCCAGCCCCGGUUCCCGCCUGCACCUUUACCUCCACACCUCCUUACAAGCGGAGGGAGCCGGCUCUGGCCUCCACCAGCCCAGAGAGGGGCUGGGAGAGUGCAGUGGCGGGCUGAAGGGCUCCGAGGCCGAGGAGGUGCUGAGAGUGAGUGAGGGCUGCUAGCACGUUGUCACCUCUCAGUAACUGGAACACAUUAUUACUCCAGGUUGUCAAUGUGAAAAGCCAAAGGUGAGCAUGCAAAUUCUGGACUGAACAGGAGAGUAAAUUUAAAGUUCGGCAUAGUGAGCAGCUACUGUGGAACAGAGUGUCCAACAGUCUUUGUCAUGUCACCAGGAUUAAAUGACACAAAUGGGGACUAGACAUCUCAGCCAUAUGCCUGGUCUUUCUCUUGGAAAAUUGUUUAAUUAUGAACCUAUACGAGGGUUUCACUCUGUCACCCAAGCUGGAGGGCAAUGAUACGACCAUGGCUCACUGCAGCAUCAAACUCCUGGGCUCAAGUGAUCCUCCUGCUUCACCUUCCUGAGUAGCUGGGACUACGAGCUUACACCACCACCCCUGGCUAAUGUUUAUUAUUUUUUGUUUGGUAGAGACAGAGCGUCCCUAUAUUUCCCAGGCUGGUCUAGAACUCUUAGCCUCAAGUGACCCUCUCACCCUCGCAGCCAAAUUGCUGAGUUUACAGGGUUGAGCCACUGCACCCAGCCUCAUCAGUUUCAUAAUAGGUCAAUGUGUAUUCCUCAGUAUUCCUCCAGUCUUAAUUCAUGAGCAUCUGAUUUCUCUCCUAUGAUAUUUGAAAAUUGUCAUUUUUUUCACUUAUUAAAAAUACUUUAAAUAUUAUACCGCUAAAGCACUA
Molecule: long non-coding RNA, 1093 nt
Organism: Gorilla gorilla gorilla (western lowland gorilla)
Lineage: Eukaryota; Metazoa; Chordata; Mammalia; Primates; Hominidae
Exons: 3
Source: RefSeq, a predicted model, not a curated record